UAGGGAAUCUUCGGCAAUGGACGGAAGUCUGACCGAGCAACGCCGCGUGAGUGAAGAAGGUUUUCGGAUCGUAAAGCUCUGUUGUUAGAGAAGAACGUUGGUAGGAGUGGAAAAUCUACUAAGUGACGGUAACUAACCAGAAAGGGACGGCUAACUACGUGCCAGCAGCCGCGGUAAUACGUAGGUCCCGAGCGUUGUCCGGAUUUAUUGGGCGUAAAGCGAGCGCAGGCGGUUCUUUAAGUCUGAAGUUAAAGGCAGUGGCUUAACCAUUGUACGCUUUGGAAACUGGAGGACUUGAGUGCAGAAGGGGAGAGUGGAAUUCCAUGUGUAGCGGUGAAAUGCGUAGAUAUAUGGAGGAACACCGGUGGCGAAAGCGGCUCUCUGGUCUGAAACUGACGCUGAGGCUCGAAAGCGUGGGGAGCAAACAGG
Molecule: ribosomal RNA, 429 nt
Filed under: Bacillota bacterium
Lineage: Bacteria; Bacillati; Bacillota
Description: Firmicutes bacterium partial 16S ribosomal RNA
Rfam family: Bacterial small subunit ribosomal RNA
Source: RNAcentral